AUGGGCGAGCUCGCAGAGGAUCUCUUCCUCCGCCUUUCGCCGGAGCUCGUCGAGGAGGUAUUUUUCCGCCUUCCGCCGGACGAGCCCGCCUGCCUCGUACACGCCUCCGCCGUCUGCAAGCCCUGGCGCCGCAUCCUCGCCGAUCUGGGCUUUCGCCGCCGCUAUUACAAGUUCCACGGAACACCUCCCGUCCUGGGGCUCUUCCAACAGGGCGACUGGCUCUUCCGGGAGGGAGCCCGCUUCGUUCGCACCUCCGCCCUCUUCCCUGCCCAGCGCGACCGGCCCUGCUGGUUUGCCAUGGACUGCCGCCACGGGCGCGCCCUCUUGGCCAGCUUGGGCACCACCUGUCACCUCAUGGUCUUGGACUCUGUGACGGGACACCAGCGCCUCGUGGUCUCGCCCUGUAACCGCCCGGUCAGCUUCAGUGCGGCGGUGCUCUGCGCCGCACAAGGCUGCGACCACCAUGGUUGCCAAGGAGGGCAUUUCCGUCUGGCCGUCGUCACCACCUAUCAGCAGCAUAGGGUCACAUCGGGCUGGCUGUACUCGUCGGAGACUCGCCUGUGGAGCGAGCUCACCUCUGUUCAUCACCCCAAUGUCAGGUGUCCCUAUAACUUGGGUGCGCCUAGCGUCCUUGUGGGCGAUGCACUCUACUUCAACGUUGGUGGCAUCGUGGAGUGUCAACUUGGUGCACUCAGGUUGUCAAUGUUGGAGAAGCCGGUCGACGGCAAUGGGCGCUUGUCAAUGUCUCAUAACCCGAUUGAUGGCAUUGGGACUCUCAUGGUGAAGGAAGACGGGCGACUGGGGUUUGCUGCCGUGGUGGAUGUCACGAAUCUAACCCUAUGGUUGUGCGAGACCGGACCUGUGGGAGCUAUUGGAUGGGCAAAACUCAGGGUAAUUGAUCUUAAGACGCUGCUCCCAACAUGUGAAUUCAGCACUAGCAUUAGGAGGUCGGUCGGUACAUGCAUUGGCGAUCACCGGCGUCGCGGAGGGCACACAAAUCAUUUUUGUGAGAGCACAUGUUGGUUCCUAUAUGGUUGA
Molecule: ribosomal RNA, 1038 nt
Filed under: Triticum aestivum (bread wheat)
Lineage: Eukaryota; Viridiplantae; Streptophyta; Magnoliopsida; Poales; Poaceae
Description: partial small subunit ribosomal RNA
Source: RNAcentral